Molecule: ribosomal RNA, 497 nt
Filed under: uncultured bacterium
Lineage: Bacteria
Description: partial 16S ribosomal RNA
Rfam family: Bacterial small subunit ribosomal RNA
Source: RNAcentral
GAUGAACGCUGGCGGCGUGCCUAAUACAUGCAAGUCGAGCGAACAGACGAGGAGCUUGCUCCUCUGACGUUAGCGGCGGACGGGUGAGUAACACGUGGAUAACCUACCUAUAAGACUGGGAUAACUUCGGGAAACCGGAGCUAAUACCGGAUAAUAUAUUGAACCGCAUGGUUCAAUAGUGAAAGACGGUUUUGCUGUCACUUAUAGAUGGAUCCGCGCCGCAUUAGCUAGUUGGUAAGGUAACGGCUUACCAAGGCAACGAUGCGUAGCCGACCUGAGAGGGUGAUCGGCCACACUGGAACUGAGACACGGUCCAGACUCCUACGGGAGGCAGCAGUAGGGAAUCUUCCGCAAUGGGCGAAAGCCUGUCGGAGCAACGCCGCGUGAGUGAUGAAGGUCUUCGGAUCGUAAAACUCUGUUAUUAGGGAAGAACAAAUGUGUAAGUAACUAUGCACGUCUUGACGGUACCUAAUCAGAAAGCCACGGCUGACUACGUG